RNAcentral lists this long non-coding RNA (1417 nucleotides) under Gossypium barbadense (sea-island cotton). Its description in RNAcentral is "long non-coding RNA (GBAR_LNC001454)". Lineage: Eukaryota; Viridiplantae; Streptophyta; Magnoliopsida; Malvales; Malvaceae. The record is from RNAcentral.
CCAUUUCUCCCAGGCCCAUAAAAUCAUCCAAAAAUAAAUAAAAUAAAUUAAAACAAAAAAAGCAAUAAAUAAAAGUCCAUUACACUAGCAUUCUAAAAUAGCCCAAAGCCAAAUUAAAUAAAAUAGUCUAGUCCAUUUACAUAGCAGCCCAAAUCACAUUUACACUUAUAGUCCAAUAAACAAACAAUAAACCCAAAUCCCCAAUUAACCUUAGCCUAUUCACAAACAAAAUUAACAGCCCAAGAAUACAAAAUUACAGUGGCCCAGUAACGAAAGCAAGCCCAACGGCCCAAAAUUUUCCAAAAAACAGAAACACUAGGUUCCCCUUUUUGCUAAGCGCUGCAGUGGCCACAACGGCCUUUACACUCCACAUCGACAUGCCCGCGAACGACUCUUACCUCUGUACAUUCACGUCACAGAACCUGCAAGAAGAAACAAAAAAACAGUACCACAGAAAAUAGGCCAGCAAAUGUAUAGAUCGAGGAUUUCUAUUCCUCUUUAUAUAUUUUUAUUUUAUUUUUUAUUCUAGAAAAUCGGCUAUAAAGAAGCCGAAGGUAAUCUGUAAAUGUUUACGCACACAGAUCAAUAGAAUCAAGAAAUAAAAAUAGUAUUUGCUAAAGGUGAUUUUCAUUUUUCUUUUCUUUUCGGGUUUUUUUUAUGUUGUUUUCAUUCUUUUUUUUUAUUCACUUUGAUACGAAUCUAAAGAAGGGAAAGAGGAGGGACUUACCUGAUUCCCCAGGGUUACAUCGGCGGAAGAUCCUUCUCCACCGUCGUAAUCGACCCUAAAAAGGGUAUUAAGCCCUACGUCCGUUUGAUUUAUCGGGUUUCGAGGGCUUAGCCUUUAAUGGCGCAUCAAGGCGGGGCUAAAAAGCCUAUUUUCGCAAUGUCGGCCACAACGGCGAUAGGGCAAACCGCCAGCCGAACCCACUCAACGGAAGAGAAGAUAUUGAGAGUUUUUUUAAAAAAGAAGGUUUUAAGUUUUAGAGAAUAAUCGGCUGAAUGAAUAUUUUAGGGUUUUUUUAGCAUAUAAACAAGAAAAAAAUGCCGCCAUUUUAAAGAGUAUUAUCGGAGGCCAAAACGACACCGUUUUGAACCUCCGACCCGAUGACCUGACCUAAACAUAACCAGGAUUCGCGUGUUUUGGUCUGUGAGGGAAUUUGCAUGAUUGGUCCCUCCCUUUCGCGCAGUCAUUUGAUUGAGCCCCAUUUCUAUUUCUUUUGUAUUUCCUUAUUUUUCCCUGAAAUUUGUGUGCCAUUUCAAGUUAGUCUGCGCCUAAACGAUGCAUUCAGGGAUUUGGUUCAUUUGCAUUUUUAUUCCUCUUUGGUUUGCACGUGUCGUAUUUUGGUCCUCCAUGCUGUUUUAAUCGUUUUAUUUAUUUGUAAAUUGUUCCUUUGAUUUUAUUUUUAUUUCAACAGAG